RNAcentral lists this unclassified non-coding RNA (201 nucleotides) under uncultured Thelephoraceae. Its description in RNAcentral is "sequence contains ITS1". Lineage: Eukaryota; Fungi; Basidiomycota; Agaricomycetes; Thelephorales; Thelephoraceae. The record is from RNAcentral.
CCGAACUGUCAACACGAGCUGUUGCUGGUCCCCAGACCGGGGGCAUGUGCACACUCUGUUUACACAUCCAUCCACACCUGUGCACCCUCUGUAGUUCUAUGGCCUGGGUGACUUUGUCCCCCUUGCUAUGGUUCUAUGUAUUUACACACACACUGCCAUAAAGUCUCGUGGAAUGUUCGUCGCGUUUAACGCAAUACAAUA